AUCCAACUGACGAAUCUGAAGUAGGACAAAACGCUCGUCCUGGAU
RNAcentral lists this non-coding RNA (45 nucleotides) under Schistosoma curassoni. The record is from RNAcentral. Lineage: Eukaryota; Metazoa; Platyhelminthes; Trematoda; Strigeidida; Schistosomatidae.